This 1346-nucleotide ribosomal RNA is filed under the name Microtrichalus sp. BM0119. Its description in RNAcentral is "SSU rRNA". It matches the Rfam family "Eukaryotic small subunit ribosomal RNA", at positions 65 to 1338 of the family's 1831-position model. Lineage: Eukaryota; Metazoa; Arthropoda; Insecta; Coleoptera; Lycidae. The record is from RNAcentral.
ACAAGCCAAAAUAAGGUGAAACCGCGAAAGGCUCAUUAAAUCAGUUAUGGUUCCUUAGAUGGUACCAACAUUUACUUGGAUAACUGUGGUAAUUCUAGAGCUAAUACAUGCAAACAGAGCUUCGACCGGAGACGGAAGAGGCGCUUUUAUUAGAUCAAAACCAAUCGGCGGCGGGUUCGCUUGCGGGCUCGUCGUCGUUUUCGCUGACGAAUCUGAAUAACUUUCUGCUGAUCGCACGGUCUUGCACCGGCGACGCAUCUUUCAAAUGUCUGCCUUAUCAACUGUCGAUGGUAGGUUCUGUGCCUACCAUGGUUGUAACGGGUAACGGGGAAUCAGGGUUCGAUUCCGGAGAGGGAGCCUAAGAAACGGCUACCACAUCCAAGGAAGGCAGCAGGCGCGCAAAUUACCCACUCCCGGCACGGGGAGGUAGUGACGAAAAAUAACGAUACGGGACUCAUCCGAGGCCCCGUAAUCGGAAUGAGAACAAUUUAAAUCCUUUAACGAGGAUCAAUUGGAGGGCAAGUCUGGUGCCAGCAGCCGCGGUAAUUCCAGCUCCAAUAGCGUAUAUUAAAGUUGUUGCGGUUAAAAAGCUCGUAGUCGAAUCUGUGUCCCGCGCCGCCGGUUCGUCGCUCGCGGCGUUUAACUGGCGUGUCCGCGGGACGUCCUGCCGGUGGGCUUAGCCUUUUCAUUAAGGCGGCCCAAUCUUAAUCCCGCCGCGGUGCUCUUCACCGAGUGUCGAGGCGGGCCGGCACGUUUACUUUGAACAAAUUAGAGUGCUUAAAGCAGGCUAAAACUUCGCCUGAAUACUUCGUGCAUGGAAUAAUGGAAUAGGACCUCGGUUCUAUUUUGUUGGUUUUCGGAACCCCGAGGUAAUGAUUAAUAGGAACGGAUGGGGGCAUUCGUAUUGCGACGUUAGAGGUGAAAUUCUUGGACCGUCGCAAGACGGACUUAAGCGAAAGCAUUUGCCAAAAACGCUUUCAUCGAUCAAGAACGAAAGUUAGAGGUUCGAAGGCGAUCAGAUACCGCCCUAGUUCUAACCAUAAACUAUGCCAGCUAGCGAUCCGCCGAAGUUACUUCUAUGACUCGGCGGGCAGCUUCCGGGAAACCAAAGCUUUCGGGUUCCGGGGGAAGUAUGGUUGCAAAGCUGAAACUUAAAGGAAUUGACGGAAGGGCACCACCAGGAGUGGAGCCUGCGGCUUAAUUUGACUCAACACGGGAAACCUCACCAGGCCCGGACACCGGAAGGAUUGACAGAUUGAGAGCUCUUUCUUGAUUCGGUGGGUGGUGGUGCAUGGCCGUUCUUAGUUGGUGGAGCGAUUUGUCUGGUUAAUUCCGAUAACGAACGA